CCAAGCUUCCUUGUGGCCCCU
RNAcentral lists this non-coding RNA (21 nucleotides) under Arabidopsis thaliana (thale cress). Lineage: Eukaryota; Viridiplantae; Streptophyta; Magnoliopsida; Brassicales; Brassicaceae. The record is from RNAcentral.